Molecule: ribosomal RNA, 253 nt
Filed under: uncultured bacterium
Lineage: Bacteria
Description: partial 16S ribosomal RNA
Rfam family: Bacterial small subunit ribosomal RNA
Source: RNAcentral
UACGGGGGGGGUAAGCGUUGUUCGGAAUUACUGGGCGUAAAGGGCUCGUAGGCGGCCAACUAAGUCAUACGUGAAAUCCCUCAGCUUAACUGGGGAACUGCGUGUGAUACUGGAUGGCUUGGAUUUGGGAGAGGGAUGCGGAAUUCCAGGUGUAGCGGUGAAAUGCGUAGAUAUCUGGAGGAACACCGGUGGUGAAGGCGGCAUCCUGGACCAAUAUUGACGCUGAGGAGCGAAAGCUAGGGGAGCAAACGGG